This 253-nucleotide ribosomal RNA is filed under the name uncultured bacterium. RNAcentral's name for it is "partial 16S ribosomal RNA". It matches the Rfam family "Bacterial small subunit ribosomal RNA", at positions 524 to 776 of the family's 1533-position model. The record is from RNAcentral.
UACAGAGGUCUCAAGCGUUGUUCGGAAUUACUGGGCGUAAAGGGCGCGUAGGCGGUACGACAAGUCGGGAGUGAAAGCCCGGGGCUCAACCCCGGGACUGCUUUCGAAACUGUCGAACUUGAGUGCAGAAGAGGCAACUGGAAUUCUCGGUGUAGCGGUGAAAUGCGUAGAUAUCGAGAGGAACACCUGCGGCGAAGGCGGGUUGCUGGGCCGACACUGACGCUGAUGCGCGAAAGCCAGGGGAGCGAACGGG